AUUGAACGCUGGCGGCAGGCCUAACACAUGCAAGUCGAACGAGUGGCGGACGGGUGAGUAAUUUCUUGGAAACUGCCUGAUGGAGGGGGAUAACUACUGGAAACGGUAGCUAAUACCGCAUACCAUCAGAUGUGCCCAGAUGGGAUUAGCUAGUUGGUGGGGUAACGGCUCAACAAGGCGACGAUCCCUAGCUGGUCUGAGAGGAUGACCAGCCACACUGGGACUGAGACACGGUCCAGACGCCUACGGGAGGCAGCAGUUGGGAAUAUUGCGCAAUGGGCGCAAGCCUGAUGCAGCCAUGCCGCGUGUAUGAAGAAGGCCUUCGGGUUGUAAAGUACUUUCGGCGGUGAGGCGUUACCCACAGAAGAAGCACCGGCUAACUCCGUGCCAGCAGCCGCGGUAAUUC
This 406-nucleotide ribosomal RNA is filed under the name uncultured bacterium. Its description in RNAcentral is "partial 16S ribosomal RNA". It matches the Rfam family "Bacterial small subunit ribosomal RNA", at positions 30 to 526 of the family's 1533-position model. The record is from RNAcentral.